GACGAACGCUGGCGGCGUGCUUAACACAUGCAAGUCGAACGGGAAGGCCCUGCUUUUGUGGUGUGCUCGAGUGGCUAACGGCUGAGUAACACGGGAGUAAUCUGCCCUUGACUAUGGGAUAUAUUCAGGAAACUGGGACUAAUACCGGAUAGGAGCUCCUGCUGCAUGGUGGGGGUCGGAAAGGUUCGGCGGUUGGGGAUGGACUCGUGGCUUAUCAGCUUGUUGGGGGGGUAGUGGCUUACCAAGUCUUUGACGGGUAGCCGGCCUGGGAGGGUCGCGGGCCACAUUGGGACGGGGAUACGGCCCAGACUCCUACGGGAGGGAGCAGUGGGGAAGAGUGCACAAUGGGCGGAAGCCUGAUGCAGCAACGCCGCGUGCGGGAUAACGGCCUUCGGGUUGGAAACCGCUUUCGCCUGUGACGAAGCGUGAGUGACGGUAAUGGGUAAAGAAGCACCGGCUAACUACGUG
This 468-nucleotide ribosomal RNA is filed under the name uncultured bacterium. RNAcentral describes it as "partial 16S ribosomal RNA". It matches the Rfam family "Bacterial small subunit ribosomal RNA", at positions 28 to 507 of the family's 1533-position model. The record is from RNAcentral.